AACGAACGCUGGCGGCAGGCCUAACACAUGCAAGUCGAGCGCCCUUUCGGGGGAGCGGCGGACGGGUGAGUAACGCGUGGGAAUAUGCCCUUCUCUACGGAAUAGCCUCGGGAAUCUGAGAGUAAUACCGUAUACGCCCUGUGGGGGAAAGAUUUAUCGGGGAAGGAUUAGCCCGCGUUGGAUUAGGUAGUUGGUGGGGUAAUGGCCUACCAAGCCGACGAUCCAUAGCUGGUUUGAGAGGAUGAUCAGCCACACUGGGACUGAGACACGGCCCAGACUCCUACGGGAGGCAGCAGUGGGGAAUCUUAGACAAUGGGGGCAACCCUGAUCUAGCCAUGCCGCGUGAGUGAUGAAGGCCUUAGGGUUGUAAAGCUCUUUCAGCUGGGAAGAUAAUGACGGUACCAGCAGAAGAAGCCCCGGCUAACUCCGUG
This 431-nucleotide ribosomal RNA is filed under the name uncultured bacterium. RNAcentral describes it as "partial 16S ribosomal RNA". It matches the Rfam family "Bacterial small subunit ribosomal RNA", at positions 29 to 507 of the family's 1533-position model. The record is from RNAcentral.